AUUGCAAAACAAAGGCUAGUAUGAGGUCAUAGCAAGUAGCCAACCAAUCAAGAACAGGGAUGAUCAAGCCCAAUGCCAGUCUACAAAAGAUAUUCUCACACUUCUGUCUGGAAACCCUUUAUACUCUGAACUAUUAAGGACCUCAAAUCGCUUUUCUUUAUGCCUGGACAGACAGUCCCACUGCAUCAAGCCAAAAGGACUGGGGCCUCAGUGGAUUUAGCAGCCAGAUCACAAGAGCCAGGAGUCAGUUCCCGAUCCAUAAACCACAAACCCAAUCGCUUUUCCCUGGCCAGGCUGGAGGGCCUUUUGCCAAGCUGUGACUUGCAAAGGGGGUCCAAGGAAAGGAGUUGUAUCUUAGAGUUUCCAGUGACAGGUGCGGAGGACAAAGUUGCCUUGAACAGCACUGGGUGUAGAGAAAGCCCACUCGUGCUCAGAGGCCCGUUCAGUAAUGAGGGGGAAUGGGGGUGUUUACAGACCUCAUCCAGACUCACACCUCAAUGAGCAGAGCCCCAGAGGAGGCAGACCUUUGUAUGGCCAACUUCCCAAAGAACACAGGGGAAAAUAGGCCGAAGCUGCUCAAAACCAGCUUGACUGGUUCUACAGAGAAGCCUCUGGUCUGCUCCGCCUUCCUCAUGUUAAAAAGAAAAAGGUGGCUGGGAGCCAGUCACUGAACACACCCCUCCCUUUCUCCUCUCUCCCCGCCCCCCUUCUUCCACCCUCCUAUCUGUUGUCCCUCAGGAUUCACCUAGCCAUCAAUAUCAGUGUCCGGCUCGCCCUCGCCUACCAAACCUGAGGUUACAUGGCUUUAGAAGUGGAAGGUUCACUAUGUGAUGAGCAAAAGGACACACAUUUGUUUUUGCCCUUUUUGCCGUUUUCUAAUGAAAAACGUAGGGAUAAAUGCAAGUAGGGAGAGGGCACAGGGACUGAGAAACUUCAAACCCUCUAGCAAAGGGCAGACAUACAGAUGAAGGGAUCUACUUCUACACCCUCAAGGAGGAGCAGGUCAAGGGGGCAAGAGAAGGAACUGGAUUGCCUCCUUCUCCGAAAGACGACUGGACACCAAGAGACCAGAUCCUCUCGUGGUGUUUCAGAAUCAGGCCAUCACAGCCUAAAAGACAGCAAUGACAUUCAAUGCCUACACCAAGAGGGCUGUAGCGGGGUGGUGGCAUUCCGCUCCGAGCGUGAGAGAUUUCAGAGUUAACGUCGGGAUACAUGGCCUCUUCCCAUGCCAGAAGUGGGAAACGGGUGUUUUCCUCCCCCACAAAGUUUGUAAAGGCUCCCUCUUCCCUUUGCUGAGACAGAAGGGGAAAAGGCAGAGAUAACACUGCAGUGACUCACUCUCGUUUGAUGAAGGCUGCGAGGAAGCCUGGAGAAUCCAAGCUGUAAGUGCAAAAAGGUACGAAUGCUGGAGUCUCCCAUCAACAGGAGGAAACUCAGCCACCUAUGUGGUUUGUCACCGCUGAACUUCCGCUGAAGGAGGAAGGCCUAGGUUAAACUCCACCCACCCUUUCCACAUCCUUCUCGGUUUCUGCUUUGAUAGGAAAGUGCAAACCCGGCAGCACCAGAGGCUACAAGAGAAUCAAGCCCUUUCUCUACCUCCUCUCAUAGCAAAAGCCUAGCAGCCACAGUCCACAGCUUAACUAAGCAGACGGAGCUGGGGCUGGCCCUGGUGACUGCAGGAAAGCCUCACCAGGCAGUCUUGGGGAAGGAAGGACAACCACCCUCCUCGCCCUUCCCAUCUGCGGAGGUUACUUCAUCCCAAUCCAUUAAUGGGCUUCAAAGUGCUGCUGUGGUGGGGGGGGGGGGAGCCCAUUUAGCAGAGCUAUCAUGGGGCCAAAGGUGGCGCCCAGCCCCCACCCCACUCGUCGAUAAUGGGCCACAGAGUCUGAGGCUUGGCUGCACUCUAGGCAUAAAAUAUUCAUUCCCGUCGACAUAAUACAUAUGUAGGAAAGUCAUGGAAGCUCCUGGGAGGAGAGAAGUGCCAGCCAGGUGGCUGAGUGUGCAAUGGGAAAGAGUUCGUGAAGGCACGGGUUAGUCCUGGUCAAAUGCCCACCGAGAGCUGGGCCGUUCCGUCCAAAGGGGAGACGGUCUGGUCUGAGAAGUUUUUGACUCCCAUGAGACCUAACGAUGCAAACCUCUCAGGCAAACAAAUUCUCAAUUUCUUCCUACCUCACAGGCAUCAGUUAAGACACUGACCAUGAAAAGAAAUCUCAGGCCCAGUCUUUGGUCACCAUCUGAAAGAUGCAGUCAUCCCUGUGUGAACUUGAUUUUAAUCUAAAGCAGACCAAGUUUCAACGACUGUCUUGAAUCCGUCUGUUUAGCUACUUCCCAAAGCCCACACAUUAGAGAGAAAUUAUCACAAUUUACUAAGUGGUUACCUUCACUGGGUUCAAAGAUCACGGUAUGGCGAGCGACUCUGUGAUCUCUAGACUCCCAGAGCCCUCGCUCUAACGAGGCCUCACUCUUAAUUUCUAGGGCCACGCAGGAAGCGAGAACGUAUGCUCUGACGUCCACCCACAUCCCUGACCAGAAGGCAGCCCCACUAAGGAGCCCUUGGCCAGAGUCAAAGGGCAGAAGUCAGAGUCCGUACGCAGAGCACAGCACCGCCCGGCUCACAGGCAUGGAGUGAAAUGAGAGCCACCCGAGCUCUCUACCAGAGGAGACACUAAAACCAAAUUAUUCAGCGUUGGCAACGUUCAGCCAGAAUCAACCCUGGCAUCCAAGGGAGAUGUGUCUGGAGCGGCUCGGUUGUUCUUUACAGGAUUCCGUAAGUCAGCUUUGCUCACUUCAUCCAGACUUCCACACUCCUCUUCCUAGAACCACCCAAGAGAAUAAACAAUGCUACUCGCACCCGAGAAGAACGAGAGCAACCCCCCUCCCUUGCGCACUGCAGCAGAAGCGAGGCCGGUAGUGAAAGCCUCCGAAAGCCUCCUCUUUUCCCUCGGAAGCCCCGGAAGCCCUCUCGCUCGUGGUUCCUGAGGCCCAGAGGUGGGGCGGCCCCCCUCCCAGGUGUUCCACGUAGUAGCGGCAGGUGAACUCUGGGAAGCCGGACCCCUCUCCGCACCUGCCUAGCCUAUUGUUGCCGCCGCCGCUGGCUGGAGGACAGGCAUCCUACAUGCUGAUUGCUGUCACCACAGCCAAGCCUCCAGGCCAGCAGAGCCAUUCGGAGAACUGGACAGAAAGCUCAGCUCACAGACUGAGAAUCCCCAAAACUACCAGCCCCAGGUCACAACCCUCCUGCAAAAGAAAGAAGAGUCUAGAGCUGGGAAAAAAGCACAUUCGAAACCAGGUGUCACAAAAAUCAUCUUAAAGAGGGGGGCUUGACUUUCUUUUAGCUCCCACUUCCAGUGCUAGGAGCAGAAUCCGACAGCAAACAGGCAAUCUUCCUGCAGUACAAGGUUUAUUUUUAUGCUUCAACAUUUUCUGUGUGUGUGUGUGUGUGUGUGUGUGUGUGUUAUGUGUGUUUAAUUCAGAUGUGAUCAAAGAGCUCCUGGAAACAGCUUCUCAUCAGCCACAUGUUUUAAAGAAAGGGGGAGAGGAAGAGCUAAAAAAGAGAUUGGAGCUUGAAGACAACCAGUAGAGUUUACCCAUUUCCUGGGGAAACCAGCUUAAAUAAUUUAAACCUAAACACAGUGAUAGAGAAUCUUUGCAGGGAGGGGAUCAGCCCAACCAAACCCCUUGCUUUUUAUUUCAUAACGUUAGGAUUUACCGCAACGACUGAACUUCUGUGACUAUUUCAACUAGAACAGCGACAGGACUGAGAGCGUCCUUGCUCUUACCUGGUGACAACGAGCUAUUCUAAAGGAGGCCAAUGCUUCUGGCAUCCCUGGCCUCGUGACGCGAGGGGCUGCUACGUGUCUUUUCUCUUGGUUUGAAAAAUACGGGCAUCUGCCGGUAUAUCCAAGCUUUUUCAAAGGCUGCGCUGUCACCGGGACGAGACUUAAUAUCGAGCAAAUAGUAUGCCUGGCUACCUUGAGGACGGGCAGCAGAAGCGAUGAAGUGGCUCAGGGGAGCCUAAGUCCACAAAGAGUGCAAACAGGAUGAGUAAUUCAUAAUUUGGAACAGGACGACAAAGUAUGCAGCCGUGGCUCUAGACGAAGUUAGCGAAGGGGCAGCUUCCGUUCCCGACCGGCUCACCCGAUUAGCUCGCACCGAAUCAGCGGGUGUGCACCGACUUCCUACUAUGCGCUCAGCAGUAUUCGAGGCAUGUAGGGAAGAGAGGAAAUCAAUGCACACAUCACAAGAAAAAAAAAAAAGACCACGGCGGGAAUACAUUUACAUUUGGUAAACAGCACAAAGAAACCACAUUGAGGCAGUCUGUUACUCUACUUUGCUGAACACAAUGCCCCCCACAGCCUCGCGGAGAGAGUAGGCACUCCACAACCACUCCCCACAUGCCUAAGGGUGCCAGUCAGUCACUUGGCCUCCUCCUACCAGCUCAUAAUCAACAGUCUGGGAAAGUUCUCUGGUGAGCAGGGCUUACCUGCUAACACAGAGGGUGCGACAGGAAAAGGAAUGGAAUGGGGAACCUCAAGAGAGCCUAGAAAAAGAGGUUCCCGGCAAGGAGAGAAAACAGCCGGCAAGUGAGGGCCAGACCCUGAGAUACAGACCAUGCUCUGGUUUCCAAAGACCUCAGUCCCAUGCAGAGCCAGUUGCAAAACCCAGCGAGGAAACAGAAAUUCACCAUCCCUCCCCCUCAACUCAUUUCACCCCCAGAAGCAAUCAAUCCGUCCGUAACGAAAGGGUCAACCAGCACAGAGAAAAACUCGGGGCCACAAUUGCUUGUGGAGCUCCUGACUGCCCAGGUGACAGAGAGCAAGGGGGGGGGGGGGGG
Long non-coding RNA from Panthera uncia (snow leopard), 4834 nucleotides. RefSeq lists it as uncharacterized. The transcript has 2 exons. The record is from RefSeq and is a predicted model, not a curated record. NCBI's taxonomy places the organism in Eukaryota, Metazoa, Chordata, Mammalia, Carnivora, Felidae.